AGGGACCCUCAGGCCUUCUUUCUGGCAUCUUGAACACGGUGGAAGGAACCUGUUACCGCAGAGUCGAGCACAAGAUGUAAAACUUCUGUUUCCUCAUGGCUUUGUCCCCUGCCAGGAAGAAGCAACAUGAUGAGCAAAAGCAGGACAAAAGAAAGCAAGAAACUAAGCAAUAGGUUUAGCAAAUAAAAAUAUUGCAUGGGACAUAAACCUAAAAACGCUUUGUUGUUUAUCUGAAAUUUUGAUGUAACUGGGCCUCCUGUCUUUUUUUUUUUUUUUUUGAUUUUGAUUUAUUUAUUCAUGAGAGAGAGAGAGAGGCAGAGGGAGAAGCAGGCUCCAUGCAGGGAGCCCAACGUGGGACUUGAUCCGGGGUCUCCAGGAUCAGGCCCUGGGCUGAAGGUGGCGCUAAACCACUGAGCCACCCGGGCUGUCCUCCUGUCUUUUAUCCACAACUCCACCACAGCAUAUCCUUGGUAGCCUCACAGAUGUUUUCGUGGCACAUGUAAAGGAUGAAAGAGCCUGUGAGAAAAUGUGAACUGUAACAGUACAUUAAAGCCUCAUUUGAUUUCUUUGGGAAACAAGAUAGGCAGAAAAACACUGAGCAGAGCCUGGAUAGAGCAGGAACAUUUGGAAGCACAAGGACAGCAUGUCCACAGACAGGCAGCACUUGGCCUUGGGUUUCCUCACGGUGAGAGGUUCCACGGUUUGUGUUUCUAGUCCUUGCCCAUGGAGCCCUGCCCUGCCCAAGGGACGGGUGCUGGCCUCUGCCUCCACUCCCCCCAAGUCCCACAGACGAACCUCUGAGAUGCAGAACUCAGCAUCCCUUUCCAGAACUUCAGUUUGGAAACAGGAGAUAAAUAUAUUAUGAUCAAGACCGAGAAUCUGUGACCCAAGGGAGGGGAAUUAGAAGAGAUGGUGAUUUGCAUCCGUCACUGUAAGAACUGGCACAUUAGAACAUAUAUUUAAUGGCUAAUUUUUGAAGUCUUAGAACUCAGAGACUCUCUGCCAGUCCCCCCUGUAAGCAGUGAAGGAACUCCUGCGGGAGUGUCCGCUAAAGCUGAGGGCACC
This 1065-nucleotide long non-coding RNA is filed under the name Canis lupus dingo (dingo). RNAcentral describes it as "lncRNA (ENSCAFG00020022522.1)". Lineage: Eukaryota; Metazoa; Chordata; Mammalia; Carnivora; Canidae. The record is from RNAcentral.